AGGAGGACAAGUUGUGGGAU
RNAcentral lists this microRNA (20 nucleotides) under Homo sapiens (human). RNAcentral's name for it is "hsa-miR-7154-3p". Lineage: Eukaryota; Metazoa; Chordata; Mammalia; Primates; Hominidae. The record is from miRBase by way of RNAcentral.